CCCCUAGACGUUCUGGGCUGCACGCGCGCUACAAUAAUACGCACAGCGAGUAUCACCGAGCUCGAAAGGGCAAGGUAAACAAUAGAAAAGGUACUGUAAUGGUUAUAGAUCCUUGUAAUUAUUGAUCUUCAACGAGGAAUUCCUAGUAAGUAUGUGUCAUCAUCACGCGCUGAUUACGUCCCUGCCCUUUGUACACACCGCCCGUCGCUCCUACCGAUUGAGUGAGCCGAUGAAACUGCCGGAUGUGGACUAUUCAUAGUCUGCAGAAGAUAUUUGAAUCGUAGCGCUUAGAGGAAGGAGAAGUCGUAACA
This 311-nucleotide ribosomal RNA is filed under the name uncultured eukaryote. Its description in RNAcentral is "partial 18S ribosomal RNA". It matches the Rfam family "Eukaryotic small subunit ribosomal RNA", at positions 1470 to 1796 of the family's 1831-position model. The record is from RNAcentral.